GUGUUGUAUGAAAGGAGGUAAGGUUAGCACUCCCCUUGACAAGGAUGGAAGACGCUCUUGGCCUGACCUGUGCAUAUGUUUAAGGCAUUGCCCCCUACUUCAUGACAUCUAACCAUUUUUAUUU
Sciurus carolinensis (gray squirrel) is the source of this 124-nucleotide small nuclear RNA. The record is from RefSeq and is a predicted model, not a curated record. Lineage: Eukaryota; Metazoa; Chordata; Mammalia; Rodentia; Sciuridae.